Molecule: ribosomal RNA, 106 nt
Filed under: Mangrovibacter sp. MFB070
Lineage: Bacteria; Pseudomonadati; Pseudomonadota; Gammaproteobacteria; Enterobacterales; Enterobacteriaceae
Description: partial 23S ribosomal RNA
Rfam family: Bacterial large subunit ribosomal RNA (bases 1-94)
Source: RNAcentral
GGAACGUUGAAGACGACGACGUUGAUAGGCCGGGUGUGUAAGCGCAGCGAUGCGUUGAGCUAACCGGUACUAAUGAACCGUGAGGCUUAACCUUACAACGCCAAAG